UAAUUGGUCAGGAGAAAAGACUCUCAUCAGUCACCAGCAGUUUCAACUUCUUAGCUCUCAAAACUAUCUUAAAGGUAAAGUCACCCCAUGACACAUGGAGAAUUGGGAUUAAGAAUGACACUAUUAUUUUUGGUCUGUGAGACUAAAGUGUUGCUCAUGUUAGUUGAUUUUGGAUUCAGAAAGUACUUAAAGAACAAACAGUAAUUUCCAGGCACCAAUCCUAACAGAUCUAGUUCUUGAGAUUCUAAUCCUCUUUCAUUCAGUGAUUGUGCUAUCAUACCUGCUUGAAAUCCCUUGCCAUUUGGCCUAAUCCCCAACUUUUUGCACAUGUCAAAUUAUUGUACAAUCUCUAGUUAUGUUACACCAGUGAUUCUCCGCACUUGAUUUAUUUGCUCCCAUAUUUGGCUUUCCUCUAACUCCUAUCCAUUUUGCAAAACCAGUGAAGUUACUUACUGAUGUGGGAAAUGGAAAAAUAGAAACCUCCACAGAUGCUGAAGUGUUCAAUCUGCAGCCUUGGAAAGAGCUUGGGUUAAUGUAAUGAUAAAGGUACACAAACAUAAGGUGGAAAAAUUAUAAAUUUGUGUUCCUAAUAUUGUAAGUAGGAAUAUGCCUUGAGUAAGUGAGAAAUUAUAUUAGGUAAAAUUGUGAGAGGUUUGAGUUGUAAUAAUGUGACUUAUAGAGUAGGCUAGGGGUAUAGAAGCUACAAUAGAGGUCAUGGGUACAUGACCUAUCUGUUUAUUGUCUAAAAGAUAGAUGCAGUGCAGCAGAAUUAGCCAAAGAUGAUAGGUUAAUAAGUAGAAACAAGUUUUGUGUUAACAGUCUAUUGGACCAAAAUGUUACAUAUUGUUGUGUGAAGAAGAAACCCGUGACUAUCUUGAGCUAUGGCUGACUUUUUGCUUCUAUCCAAAUCUCACGCCUUCGAGACAAAUAUCUUAUCUGGUUUACUUGAGCAAUAAAUCACCUUAAAUAGCACAGUGGUCCCAUCCCUUGUUUUUCAUCUCGACAAUUGCAAUACCGAUUAAACAUGUGAAAAAAGGAUCUCCUGGCAUGGCUAAAGAUAAACAAAAGGAAUCCACUCCAGUAGCAUUAGCCCAAGUAAGCCACAUCAGAGUAAAACAAUACAUGUAGUGAAAAAGAAAUUGACAGCAAUUAAGAAUUAAUCAAAUAAUAUACACAAUAACACAUGCGGAAUUAUAUAAUUAGUAAGCACUAUAAUAUUAAACUGUUGUGCCAGAGUCUGCAACAACUGAUAAACCUCAGAUCAGUAGAGAAUUGGAAAAUUAUGUCCAGAUAACAAUUAUCCAAGCUCACUUUAAAAGUAGGUUCAGCUAUCAUAUUAACACGGUCAAAUUGCCAUGCCAAAAUUACUUGAAUCUACUUUUGAUGCAGAAAUGUCUGGGUUUGUUGGCAAUUUUCCCAUCCAUGUAGAGCUAGGGCCCAAACCCUAAUUGGUGGAUGUCACUUAACACAUUUUAAAACAAAGCUCUUGAAAAUAGCAGUUAUGAAUAAAACCUUAGGGUUAAAGAUUAAUUAAAGCAUCUAGUAUUUGCAUCCCUCUGAAGUUUUCUUCAAGACAGAGAUGCUUCAAACACAGCAAACCUUCUUCUUCAAAAAUCCAGCAUAAAACUUAGUUUUUAAUAAGUUAAUAUUGCAGCUGGACUCUCUGCUGGAGUGCUUUUAUAAUAAUAACUGAAGGAAGCCACAAAACUACCAGUCUGGAAGAGGUUUUCGAUGAAGCUCUUGGUAUCUUUUCUGGGAACUCCAUUAAAACAAUAGGCUAGAGAAGUAGUCUGGAUAAAAAAAGAACAUGUAAGCAACUAGAGAACAAAAAGGAAAGGAUCCUGAAGAGACACAUGUCUGGUAGGUGAUCACACAAAGAAACGGUAAAGCAUAUAAAACCUGAUUGUAAAUACUAUAACAAUAUAAGUAAUUCUUAUUACAAAAGUCAGUGAAUUCACAUUAAACAAACAAUAUAUCAACAGCAAGUGUUUGAGGAAGAUAAAACAUUUUUUAAAUAUUCAUGUCAUAUUAAUAACAGUCACCAUUUAUCAGUGUUACUUAUAGAAAACAAAAAUAACAGAGGUUAUAAGCUCACUAUUAGUAACCCCUAAACUGAAUCGUUAGGGAAAAGGGAAACAGCUGAUGAUUUUAUGACUAGGAUCUGGUCAAAAUUCCCCAAGUGUUAUGUCUUUGGAGAAAUUUUAGAUGGUUGCCAGUACUAUUAGUUGUAUCUCACACAGUAGUUUUACUCUGUGGGAAACUCUUUUCCCAGUAAAAGAUUUCCAUCUAUGUCAUAAUUAGAUUGGAACUGAUUUGUAUAUUAUCUUCCCUUUUUUCAUCUAAGAUAAUGGUUAGGUUGCUUUAUAUUUUUUUGUGGGCUCUGAGCAAGAUUUGUUUAUAUGUCCAGGCUUCCCACAUUUGAAACAUGUUUUGGUGGCUUCUGUUUGCACUGCAGCAAUGUCUUGUGUGAGGCAAUGUAUGGAUAAAAUGAAUGGCUCAAAUAUCCCUUGUCUUAUUUCUGUAUAUGUGCCCUCUGGGCUUCCUGCUGGUUGGACUUGCAGGAUUGCUUUUUCUGAAUGAGCACUUGAUUUACAGUUCAAAAAGUCUCUGGUAUCUGAAGGAAAUAAAUUUGGCUUUUUCUUUGGAUAUGGUUGAGCUGCAUUCUGUAGAUUUGUUUCUUCUGCUUGUGUUAUGGUACAGAACUUUUUAUCUUACUUUUUCCUUGCAAGAAUGGAAGUGGCCAAAGGAGGCGCUGUAGUGAGAGGUCGGUAAUCUCGAUGGUUACAAAAUGGCGUCUGCAGCAUUGCGCAUGCUCAGCACUGGGGAACGCCAUCUUGUUGAAUGACAACCUCCUGUCAUCGCCAUUUUAUUGUACGGCAUCUUCCUGUCGGGUGCCGCCAUUUUGUUCUAUGGGAGCAUGCUCAGUAGUAGUGCAAGAGCUCUUGACACAGACACCCCUCUCAGGGCAGGGUUCCGGCCCCCCCCUGCGACGUAAUAUUACCAGCGGCUAAAGUUUUUUCUCCCAGGAGCCGCUCUCUCCUGCACUUCGUGUGGAGCCGUUCUCUGCCUCCCACUGACGUGGUCCAACUGUGGCAGUCUCCAGCCAGGCCCCCCACCUUUUCACUCCGCAGGACCUCCCUUCAGAGUUCGAAGAGUCUGGGUCUGCUUCAUAUCAUGGCACUUUUAGCGCAUCGCUAGGGUCACCAACAUGCAGGAGGAGCUUGUAACUUCUGAUCAACCAAUAUGAUUUCACAGAAGCCCCUUAUUGUUUACAUUAUACACUUGUUUAUGGAUUCUAAAACUACUGUUCACGUGAUCACACACUACUUGAUUGGUGCCUCUAUACUGUCCAUGCGGUGAGCACACACUCCUCAGGUUUUGUGAUUUGGUUACAGUCCAAGUGUUCAAUAGCCUUCUGUUAUCUGGUUCCUGUGGUCUUGUUUCCCUGCUUCUCAUCUGCUUCUUUCUUAUUUUAGAACAAUUUAUGUUUCAGCAACCUUGAGGAAUUUCAGAGGGUCUGAUAAGAAAUUGUACAGACUGUUUGGGUGGGGCACACUAUGACCUAAGUUGUUCAGAUACAUUGGUACAACCAAUGCCUGUUUAAAAUUUUUUGUUGCUGUUUCUAACUGGAAAGAUCACUUUUAAAUUAAUCAAAAGAAUUAGGAUUAGAAUCAAAAUAUGUUAGUUUUAAAUGUGUUGGUAAGGAAGUGCAAAACUGAGGGAAGAAAUACAAGCUGUACUCCUGAGAAGGCUGGGGUAAUCUUGUAUGGUCUUGGUGUAAAACUUCUGUCCUGCUGGAAGGAAUCCCCACCUCUCCCCAAGCAAGGAAGAGACUGAAUAUAGCUUUCAUUUUAAAAUCUGGAACAGCUGUCUUCUUUAUCUCUGUUGUAAAUAAGGAAAACAUACUUAGGAAACCACUUAAAAAUACAAGGUAGAAGCUUAAAAUCCAGUAAGAUUAAAAAAAUAUAAUAUACAAAUUAGUUUAUAUCUCUUCCACUUCCUUGCUUCAAGGUCAUCCUAUAGCAUGUUUUCUACAAGGUGUGAGCUGGCCAAAUUUUGCACUAGAUCUUUACAUCCCAGAAAAAUUCCAGGCUGAUUCUGCAUAAAAAACUGCCCCAGGAAAGUUGGAAAUCUUGUUUUAAAGGCUUGAAGGCUUUGGGGAAAGAGGCUAUGCAAGCAAUAAGAUCAGAGUUCUGGAAGUCAAUGCACUUGCAUGGGAUUUCUUUUAUUAUUAGCAGGAGAAAGUAAAUCUGGGCAUGUUAUUUUUUACUAUCAGCUGCAGCAAAGAUGAGUCAGUCACACAGGGCACACAAGUCCCUCCUUAUCUUGCCACUCUGUUCUGCUGGGGGAAUGCUGAGCUCACGAAUAUUUGCACAAUUGAAACUGACCAUCAUGUGCAUGCAGAAUCACCCUGUAUUUGGACUGUUUUCUACUCCCUGCAGCCUGCAGCUGUGCCUUUCCCACAGGGCCUUCAGUUUCUGAGGAGAAGACAAUGGAAGAAGUUGCUAAAGAGCAGUAAAGGUACACAGCACCUGUGGUUGCAGCAUGUGUAAGCAGUGUGGACGCCUCUGGAAAGUUUAAUGCAAAUAUUUGUGGCAAUCAACCAACUGAUUCCUGUGUGAAACCUCAUACUCUUCUUUGAAGACAUAAAAGAAACUGUGCAGUUUGUCCUACUACACACUGGUUAUCACAGCCAGUAUUCAGUGCUGCAAGAGAUUAUUUAUGUUGCUUAGAGAAACGCUUCUGUGAUUAACACCUCUGCUGUAGAAAGUAGCAUCCAGUCAAGCCACUCAGCAUGUCCUAAAUAAAUGUGCCAAGAGAAGCAGUAGACUUAACUAAGCCAUGCCAGAUGAAUUUUGUUGUCUUGAUAUGUACAUUGAUUUCUUACUUUUGGUCCACACUGUUGUACAUAGUUACACCUUUGUAACAUUCCAUGCUAAAAUGUAAGCAAUAGGUUUUAAAAUCAAGUCAAAAUAUUAUUGAAGUACCUGUUAGCAUUUUUAAAUUGGAUUACAGGGAAAAUAACAAUGUGUUUGCUCCUGAUUGGAUUUGUGAUUGUAAGCAUAGGACAUCUGGCUGCACAUGACCUAAUUUUCCUGCUGCAUAAACAUUUCAGGUGCUACCAUUCCUGGCAUAACAACAUCCAGGAGUAAACAUUUUAAGACUCCUGCUUUGGGAAGAAAGCCUGUUCAUAAGUAGUAGCAUUAGGUACUUUAUGGCAUGACAAUCAAAAUAGCACUGGUUGGUGUUGUCAUGUAUCCAAGUGGUGGCUCCUGCCUUGGGUGUGCUGGGCUCUGCUCCUCCCAAAUCUCAUUCAGCUUGCUGUGGUCUUUGUGUUGCUCUCUCUUGGCAGUGGCAUGUAGUGGUAGUGUAACAGCACAAAGGUUUGGUAUAAACCUUCAAACUGGUAUAAAUCACAAGUCUUUAAGGCCAUGGCAAAGCCUGUCUCCAAGAUCUUGCACAAAGAGAGCAAAAUCCCUGUGAAGGGCUAUGCAACAGGCAUUCUUAGGGACUAAGAACUGAAUAGCUAAAUAACCUUGUUUUCUCAGUAUUGGCUUUAUAAAAAAUACAUUUAUUGUGAAUAACAUGUUUAUACGCCACUGUGCUCCCAACCCUCCAUUGUGCUACGUGCACAAGUGUGCAGCUAAGACGAUAUACUGAGACUCCAUUGCAACCAUCACAGAAUGGUAAUGAUUCUAAACCAGAGCCAUAUAAGGUAUAUUAUGUACUACUUAUAUAGAAAGUGCGUUUCAUAAGGUGUGUCUGACUCUUCUCAAGCACAAGUUUGGAAAAUACUGAAAGGAAAAUGACAGCAUUAUGACAUUCCUACCUAUGGCACAAAGCAACACGUGCUUCUUCCCCCAUAAUAAAGCAAAUUAUAACAGUGUUAAAACAAAAAUAUAGCCUUUUGCUCCUGGACCUACUUAGGAAUAACUGGAAUAAUGCAGAGGCAAAAGCAAGCUCCUGAGCAAGAAGACAAACUACAGCCUUCUGCUUUAAAGGAUUAAGCCUCUAUGAUUCAAAGCAAUUUUUGUAGACAAGCUACUGGAAUAAAAAUCUCAAACUGAUACAUUGUUGGAGUCUAUUUAUCUUGUAGAUUAAACACACUAUGAUGAAUCUAUGCACUUAAAUGUUCUGUUUAUUUUCACUAAUUCCUAGUAACAGACGUUGUUUUAACUGCAUCUAACAGUAAGGUUUCUGAAUUUUUUAGCUUUUCUGAAUGGCUCUUCAUCUCUGGAACUGCUCUGGUACACAGCAAAAUAUGUUAGCCCUCUGGAACAGCUGCCUGAAUGACUGAAUCACAAACUGUGGUUUCCAAAGCUUUUCAUCCUUUCAAUUUCAAAAAAAUGUGAGAGUCCCAAAAUAAUCUGUACAUGUGCUUUAUGCUGGAGUUACUCUUUUUUUGCUUUUGUUUUGUUCAGUUUUUUUUAAUUAAAAAAAGGAAACUAGA
Parus major (Great Tit) is the source of this 6451-nucleotide RNA transcript. It is a transcript of the gene named mitochondria localized glutamic acid rich protein, with no coding region annotated. The transcript is spliced from 5 exons. Lineage: Eukaryota; Metazoa; Chordata; Aves; Passeriformes; Paridae. The record is from RefSeq and is a predicted model, not a curated record.